UUUGUGGCAAGCCUGACCACAACAGGAAGGGCCACUACAAGUACCAGGAGGCCCUACUUGGAGGAGGAUAUGAAAUAGAUGAAAAUUAUGAUGACCCUUCUUUUCUUCAGCUGCAGGUGAUUCCAUUCCACAACCUAGAGUUAUUACAACCGAAAUGAACAUAGGCAGGAGUACAAGAGCAACCCGAAGAGCUGAAACAGGGGAAGGAUCACAACAUGUUGCAAGAGGUAAUAAAAGACAGAGGGGAGCUGGAAGAGGAGCUGCUGAUAUUGCAGGCACAUCUGUAGCUGCUGCUAGGGGAAGAGGAGCUGGAAGGGGAAGCAUCUCUGGAAGAACUGCAGGAGGUAGAGCUGGAAGAGGAGCUGGAAGGGGAAGGAACACUGCAACAGCUAGUACUGGAAGAGGUGCUGGAAUAUCUUCAGGUGUUGACACAUCUUUAGGACUUGGAUUUGGUACUGGAAGAGGUGCAUAUUACUGGUUGUUUGGAGAUGACAGGGCUACAGAAAUUCCAGAUCUCAACUUGUAGGCCAUUCCAUUAGUACACCUACAAGUUCAUGAAUGAACUUUAUUUUGUCUCACCAAAUGUAAGAGUUCAUGGAUGAACUUUCUUUAGUGAUGUAUUUUGUGACAGCAAACUCCAUGGUGCUGCUGCUAAACUUAAGUGUAUUCUGUGACAGCAAACUCUUUUAUGCUG
This is a long non-coding RNA of Triticum dicoccoides, 694 nucleotides long. RefSeq lists it as uncharacterized. The record is from RefSeq and is a predicted model, not a curated record. The transcript is spliced from 2 exons. Lineage: Eukaryota; Viridiplantae; Streptophyta; Magnoliopsida; Poales; Poaceae.